This 644-nucleotide ribosomal RNA is filed under the name uncultured bacterium. RNAcentral describes it as "bacterial SSU rRNA". It matches the Rfam family "Bacterial small subunit ribosomal RNA", at positions 8 to 647 of the family's 1533-position model. The record is from RNAcentral.
AGAGUUUGAUCCUGGCUCAGAUUGAACGCUGGCGGCAGGCCUAACACAUGCAAGUCGAGCGGUAGAGAGGAGCUUGCUUCUCUUGAGAGCGGCGGACGGGUGAGUAAUGCCUAGGAAUCUGCCUGGUAGUGGGGGAUAACGUUCGGAAACGGACGCUAAUACCGCAUACGUCCUACGGGAGAAAGCAGGGGACCUUCGGGCCUUGCGCUAUCAGAUGAGCCUAGGUCGGAUUAGCUAGUUGGUGAGGUAAUGGCUCACCAAGGCGACGAUCCGUAACUGGUCUGAGAGGAUGAUCAGUCACACUGGAACUGAGACACGGUCCAGACUCCUACGGGAGGCAGCAGUGGGGAAUAUUGGACAAUGGGCGAAAGCCUGAUCCAGCCAUGCCGCGUGUGUGAAGAAGGUCUUCGGAUUGUAAAGCACUUUAAGUUGGGAGGAAGGGCAGUUACCUAAUACGUGAUUGUUUUGACGUUACCGACAGAAUAAGCACCGGCUAACUCUGUGCCAGCAGCCGCGGUAAUACAGAGGGUGCAAGCGUUAAUCGGAAUUACUGGGCGUAAAGCGCGCGUAGGUGGUUAGUUAAGUUGGAUGUGAAAUCCCCGGGCUCAACCUGGGAACUGCAUUCAAAACUGACUGACUAGAGU